RNAcentral lists this ribosomal RNA (730 nucleotides) under uncultured bacterium. RNAcentral describes it as "bacterial SSU rRNA". It matches the Rfam family "Bacterial small subunit ribosomal RNA", at positions 91 to 808 of the family's 1533-position model. The record is from RNAcentral.
GCGAGCGGCGGACGGGUGAGUAACACGUGGGUAACCUGCCCAAGAGACUGGGAUAACACCUGGAAACAGAUGCUAAUACCGGAUAACAACACUAGACGCAUGUCUAGAGUUUGAAAGAUGGUUCUGCUAUCACUCUUGGAUGGACCUGCGGUGCAUUAGCUAGUUGGUAAGGUAACGGCUUACCAAGGCAAUGAUGCAUAGCCGAGUUGAGAGACUGAUCGGCCACAUUGGGACUGAGACACGGCCCAAACUCCUACGGGAGGCAGCAGUAGGGAAUCUUCCACAAUGGACGAAAGUCUGAUGGAGCAACGCCGCGUGAGUGAAGAAGGGUUUCGGCUCGUAAAGCUCUGUUGGUAGUGAAGAAAGAUAGAGGUAGUAACUGGCCUUUAUUUGACGGUAAUUACUUAGAAAGUCACGGCUAACUACGUGCCAGCAGCCGCGGUAAUACGUAGGUGGCAAGCGUCGUCCGGAUUUAUUGGGCGUAAAGCGAGUGCAGGCGGUUCAAUAAGUCUGAUGUGAAAGCCUUCGGCUCAACCGGAGAAUUGCAUCAGAAACUGUUGAACUUGAGUGCAGAAGAGGAGAGUGGAACUCCAUGUGUAGCGGUGGAAUGCGUAGAUAUAUGGAAGAACACCAGUGGCGAAGGCGGCUCUCUGGUCUGCAACUGACGCUGAGGCUCGAAAGCAUGGGCAGCGAACAGGAUUAGAUACCCUGGUAGUCCAUGCCGUAAACG